AUUUAAAUAGUUUAAUUAAAACAUUGAUUUGUGGAAUCAAAAAUAUAAUUAUAAAUAUUAUUUUAGAUA
RNAcentral lists this transfer RNA (69 nucleotides) under Callicerus obscurus. RNAcentral describes it as "tRNA-His". It matches the Rfam family "tRNA". From Rfam's summary of the family: Transfer RNA (tRNA) molecules are approximately 80 nucleotides in length. Their secondary structure includes four short double-helical elements and three loops (D, anti-codon, and T loops). Lineage: Eukaryota; Metazoa; Arthropoda; Insecta; Coleoptera; Staphylinidae. The record is from RNAcentral.